RNAcentral lists this unclassified non-coding RNA (1727 nucleotides) under Leishmania donovani. RNAcentral describes it as "gene:LdHU3.01.0650(CDS-product:hypothetical_prote in_conserved)". The record is from RNAcentral. Lineage: Eukaryota; Euglenozoa; Kinetoplastea; Trypanosomatida; Trypanosomatidae.
ACAAGCGCAGGUCUCAGCCCUGCAAGGCCUUCAGCUGGCUCUUGUCUGUUCAGUAAGAUAGCGAAUACACUCGGGGGGCACCGCCAACCAUGGCGAAGACCAAACGCAGCCAUGCACCGCGGCAGCCGCAUCACAGCGCUGACCCCGCCGCAGAGGCGGCCCCGACGCCGUCCUUCAUCGUCUACCCCGUCCCCAGUAUCGCGGAUGCGUCUUUUCUGCAGAUUAUCUUCUGCAACACGGUGAGGCGGAGCCUCUUCCUCGGCUUCGGCCGAGCCCGUUUUGCCGUGGCGGAGCUCACGAGCGCGGCGGUGGCCGCGGAGGUGGAGACGAUAAUCCACAAGGCGGCCGCCGCUGUCGCGGGUCCGGAAGACGGCGCUGCUGCGUCUCAAGAGGCGAGCGGUCUCGCAGCUGACGCGGCUGCACGGCACGGUGCUCUUGAACACCUUGCCGACGACGAUGCCUUCGAGCACAUGACGCUGGCGGACCUCUUCGCGCCACCACCCGGGUCAUCCCCACAAGGCUCUGCGUCCGCGCCGCGGCAGGAGCGCCAGCCGAGCAGCGGCGGCGCUGCGGCGGGCGGAGAGUCGCUCGACUUCAGCCAUAUUCCAUAUCUCGUAUGGCGUGACAGGCCUGUUCACGUUGUGGUGAGCGGGGUGCGGGUGGCAGACUUCUACGGCAGUGGUGGCGCCGUGCCGGAACACCACGUGAAGCGCACCACCGACGCGGGGGAGCCGCGCAGCAGCACCAAACCGAAAAGGCCAAGCACCGGCAAGCGCACUCGCGACGACGCCGACUCGACGGCCGCACUGUCGUCGUCGCCGGCAGCGAGCCAGCGGGCAGUGGCGGAGGAACGUGCGCAGGGCAGCGGGGCGGUGGAUGCCGCCGUCGUCGCGGCGGCAUCCACCGCGCCCAAGUCGCGCUUCCCAAAGGACCGCUGCCAGAAGUGCGGUAGCGCCGACCACUUCACGCGUCACUGUGACGGCAGCAACGGCGCCAGUGUCGCUGCGGUGGUCAGCCCUUCCGUUGCCGUGGGUGUGGAUAAGCAGCCACGGCACGAGGCUCUCGCUGCUGAGGUGGCUGCGUCGACGCCGCGGCCGGCAAAGGCGAAGCCUCUCGUGCAGCGCACCUCGAAGGAUCAGUGCAAGUACUGCGGCUCCGAGGCGCACCUCUCGCGUCACUGCCCGAGUAAGAGCUAAGAAUCGACAGAGGGUUGCGCAGCUGUUGCCGUCCCAUAUGCGGUGAGGAUCAGCGAUGCAGACGUGUUGAUGCGGCGCUGCAGCCGCUCCACGAGACGGCAGCCGCCCUCGCUUGCAUCGUCUUUGCGUCACGUCUCCCCCACCAUCCUCUCCUCGCAAGCUCCCUCCCCCUCUGGAAGGAGUGGAUGAAGACCACAGUGCGCCUGCUCGGUGCGCCCCGUGCAAGCCGUCCGCACACGCAUCGCUCUCAUGCGGUCGAGGAGCUUGCCACUGGAAGGAGGGCGGGUCUUGCGCAGCAUCCGACAGGCGCACGCGGGGCCCGCAGGCGACGGCCGGAGGAAGGCGCGAGAUCGUGUCCGCUGCUGAGUACCUCUCACUCUCAGGUGUUUGUGGGUUGGUGGGUGGGACGGACAUCCCCACACACCCGACACCUCUCUCUCCUUGACGGGGCCCUCUGCGCGCACGACGGCUGCGAUCGCCUCCUAACAACAGUGAUGCGCCGAUAACGCGCGUCCACGUUAAAAGAAAACG